This 727-nucleotide small RNA is filed under the name Pan troglodytes (chimpanzee). RNAcentral describes it as "processed transcript". Lineage: Eukaryota; Metazoa; Chordata; Mammalia; Primates; Hominidae. The record is from RNAcentral.
GGAACACCUGUAACAGGACAGGGAGUUCUGCUCAGGCACGUGGCCACAGAAAACUACUUAGGAAGCCUGUGGUGAGAACAACAACAGCGCCUGGAGAAUCCCACGGCUCUGGGGAAGUGAGCCCCGAGGAUGAGGCUGCUCGCCUGGCUGAUUUUCCUGGCUAACUGGGGAGGUGCCAGGGCUGAACCAGAUGAGGCAAAUGAGUCUCAGAGGGGACAUUGCAUUUGCUGAAGAUCUCCCAGCUGGGAAAUGGCAGGACAAAGCCUGUGCCUGGCUGUACUAUGCUUCAUGUCCUCUUGGGAUGGUGGGGUUUAGAGGCACCCUUAUAGGCACUGAGGACAUAGAGGUAAACAAGACGGGCUUGGUGCUCUCAUGGAACUGACAUUGUAAACAGGGAAGAGGGACAAUAAGCAAGCCAACAAGAGGAAGCGCAAGGACUUUGUGCCCAAGAGAAAGGCAAAGGGCCUCCCCCGACAUCCAUCCUGGCCAGCCUGGCUCUGGGCUUGGAAGCAGGGAAGUUCUGGCACAUCGCUGACCUGCACCUUGACCCUGACUACAAGGUAUCCAAAGACCCCUUCCAGGUGUGCCCAUCAGCUGGAUCCCAGCCAGUGCCCGACGCAGGCCCCUGGGGUGACUACCUCUGUGAUUCUCCCUGGGCCCUCAUCAACUCCUCCAUCUAUGCCAUGAAGGAGAUUGAGCCAGAGCCAGACUUUAUUCUCUGGACUGG